UACGGAGGAUCCGAGCGUUAUCCGGAUUCAUUGGGUUUAAAGGGUGCGUAGGCGGGAUGAAAAGUCAGUGGUGAAAUCUCAGAGCUUAACUCUGAAACUGCCAUUGAUACUGUCAAUCUUGAGUACAUUUGAUGUGGGCGGAAUGUGUCAUGUAGCGGUGAAAUGCUUAGAUAUGACACAGAACACCGAUUGCGAAGGCAGCUCACAAAACUGUAACUGACGCUGAGGCACGAAAGCGUGGGUAUCAAACAGG
Molecule: ribosomal RNA, 253 nt
Filed under: uncultured bacterium
Lineage: Bacteria
Description: partial 16S ribosomal RNA
Rfam family: Bacterial small subunit ribosomal RNA
Source: RNAcentral